UAACAAAACAAAAAAAAAUCAAAAGCAUCAGUAAUGGAGGAUUCAGAGAUAAGUGGACUUUAAUUUAACACUUUAAAGAAGGCACAAAGAGACAAGCGAUCAGGUCAAUAGAUAGAGCUCAUCAAUUAUUGUAGAUGUGCCGGAAACUCCAGGCUGAAUGAGGUAAGCCUCUGGAGUGUUUCCAUAGAAACACAUUUUUAUGGCUCUCUGUCUCUCUUCUCCUGUUUCGGUCUGCUGGUCACUUAACAGCCUCAUCAUGGAGGAGACGUGAAAGGACACACACAGGACCUCCAAAGUUCAGGUUCACGGUGCUGAUGUCGCUGUCAUACUCACUUUCCUCUCGUUGCUGGAGUCCUUCUUGGUGGCCUUGAUGAAAUCGCUCCGGCCGUGAAGAUACUCAUCGUACUCCUCCAGCGUCAUGUCUCCGUUCUCGAUGAGCACAUGCGGCAGAUGAGGCUCUGCAGUGACACAGUCGGUCAGGACAUAGACAUGGCUAUAAAUAUUAAGGGCAGAUUAAAUAGCAGAUGGACAAUGGCCCAAAGUGACACCAAGUGCUGCGGCACUAGCAGCUCAUGGUGGAGGGAGAGUGGAAAUCUGUGGUGCUGAAUUAUCCCCAUAUUGAUGAAGGAAUCAAGAGAUGAUUGCAAAUAAAGAUGCUGCACCACAGCUGGGCCUCAAGACAACAAAAUUAGCUCAGAGGGUUGAGUGAAUCCUGGGGAUUUGGACUGUUGUUUCUCCAUACUGCUGGGUUCUGAAAAGCACCGUUUCAAGCUUAUAAAAAAGGCUUCAGUUUAAAAAGGGUUUAUAUUUUGUUUACAAUAGACUUUAGGCAUAAAAAAAUGUUUUUAUAUGUGAUUUUUUUUAGCAAAAACCUGGCUUGGAUUGAUUAAUUGCUUUUUAAUUGCUUAAUCCAUUCACCCAUCCAGUUUUCUGAUGAUUUUCCAGGUCCAGCUCCUGUAUACUGUGUACUGAUUAAUUAUUGAUUCUAUUGUACUCGCUCUACUGCAGGAAAAAUACCAUCAAAGUGUGUUAUAAAUGCAAAUAAAUUCAUGCACUUGCUGAUAAAA
Long non-coding RNA from Acanthopagrus latus (yellowfin seabream), 1067 nucleotides. RefSeq lists it as uncharacterized. The record is from RefSeq and is a predicted model, not a curated record. NCBI's taxonomy places the organism in Eukaryota, Metazoa, Chordata, Actinopteri, Spariformes, Sparidae. The transcript is spliced from 2 exons.